UUCGGGUCUGUUCGCCGAAGAUA
This 23-nucleotide non-coding RNA is filed under the name Arabidopsis thaliana (thale cress). Lineage: Eukaryota; Viridiplantae; Streptophyta; Magnoliopsida; Brassicales; Brassicaceae. The record is from RNAcentral.